RNAcentral lists this long non-coding RNA (2848 nucleotides) under Sus scrofa (pig). RNAcentral's name for it is "lncRNA (ENSSSCG00030004658.1)". Lineage: Eukaryota; Metazoa; Chordata; Mammalia; Artiodactyla; Suidae. The record is from RNAcentral.
AUUCCUGAGAGGGAGCUGUGAAGGAGAAAAGGAACACACAUCCUGGGAAGCUGCCUAACCGACCGGGAGAUCAGCCUAAAUGGAGGGACCUCAAAGUCGCCAAGAAAAGUGCAGCAGCUGGACUGAGGACAAAGUAGAGUGAGAGCUGCACAGAUCAUCUGCACCACUGCCCUGGACACCACAGCCUGAGAUGCUUGGGUGCUGAGAUUUAGGCUCUGAAGUGACAAAAAUCUAAGCCAAACUGGGAAAUGAAAGAAGUGUGACUCCUUCAAUGUAAAAACCUAUCAGAAGAAAAGGCAAAUGUGGUACUGCCCUGGGGAUAUUUGAAUUCAUAGUCUCAAAUGAAUGCAGAAUUUCUUCUGUCUGCCUUUUUUUAAGAUCUGAAGCUUUCUUGUAUAUGCAAAUCAACUUUAUUCACAAGGAAAUCUUCAAGGAAUCAUCUAUAAUGUGAGGAAAGACCAUGAGACUCGACCUGAGACGUAUCCUAAGCAUGAGGCUCACUAGAUCUGUUAACACUGGACGAAUCAUUUAAUUUCUCUCUAGAUCUGUUAACACUGGAUGAAUCAUUUAAUUUCUCUAAGUCUUAAUGUUCUUUUCCUUAAAAUGAGAAUAACUUAAUUCAGUAAAGGGGAUAUCAUGAGUUUAAGAAAGGCAAUAUAUAUAAAAGUGCUACAUAGUCUUUACAACACUGUAUAAAAGCAGUACAUUUUUGAAAUCAACAGUAGUAUUAAACACGUAUAGUUUAGUUGGCCCAUUAAAGACAAUAUUAAAAUCACUGCCCACAUACCUAAAUUUUGCCACACUGAUUUUUUAAGUUUUAAACUGAGAUAAAAUUUACACAUUUUAAAACUAACCCUUUUUUUAAAUAGUACAAUUUUGUUGUUUUGUUUUUAAUAUAUUCAUAGAUGAUGCAACCAUCACCACUAUCUAGGUUUAGAACAUUUUCAUCUUUCCCCAAAGAAAUCCCAUUCUCAUUAAUAGUCAUUUCCUAUUCCCUACUGGCAACAACUAAUCUACUUUCUGUCUGUAUGGAUUUGCCUAUUCUGGACAUUUCAUAUAAAUGGAAUCAUACAAUAUGUGCUCUUUUGAGACUAGCUUCUUUCACUUAGCAUUAUUGUUAAGAAUCUGUCAAAUUCACAAUUGUUAAGUGGAGCACAGGGUGCCUGAUGAUGAAGGGACAGACUAUAAGAGAAACUGAAAUAGAAAAGUUUGUUACUCACAGGUCCUGGAGGAAGUACCAGGCAUUUCUCAUGGGUCCAGGUAGGAAGGUCAAGCAGGGUGCAGACAGAGAGAAAAACAGGACCUGGGGUACAUGUGCAUGCUUUUAUUAGGGUCCCAUGGUAGAGUGUUUUGGAGUUCUCGGCUAAGGUCAGAUUGGUCAAUUCAAACCAAAAGACCCCACGAAGGCCUUAAUUAAGAGGCAAAAAAGGUGGAGGUCCUGGAGACAGGGGAGACUUGAUCCCUAGGAACGUUGGGGGGGUCAUAUCAAGAACUAACACUUGCCUGUGACUGCGGGACGCUCUCUGGGGCAUGUACUCAGCAUGUACUUGUGUGAGGGACAAGAGUCCGUUUAUGUCCUGCAGGCUAUGUAAAAUGGAUGUCAAGGCACCAAUAUGGCGGAGUAGUUUAGCUCAACUCUGCACAAUUAUGUUGUCAAGGUUCAUCUAUGUUCAAGAAUAUUUGAAUAACUAAUGGAGGAAACUACCGCAAGUUAGAGUAGAUAGGUAUGUAAAUUAGAGAUAUAAAAUUUCUCUUUAAGCUAUAGAGCUUGUUCUGUGUCUUUAAAAUCAUUCCACUUCUCAGAUUUCUUCCAUAACACCUUAGCUUCUUAAAGUGAUAUUUGGAUGGAAUUGGGAAUGGGCCAACUGCUAAUUACAGUCUAAUCACCAGCAGGGUAGAGUGCAGCUAACACAUUCUGACAUCUCUCAGGCUGGACUUAGGAAAAAAAGUUCAAUUUCUAUUCCUCUUUCCAAGAUAUAUCAUGUUUAAUUAUGUGCAUUUGAAGUUAUUUAUUAUAAGUUUAGGAGUCAUGAGGAGGAACCAAAUAUCUUCCAUCUUAUAAACCAAGGAAAUAAAGUAAUAAAUAGUUUUCCAAAUAGGAGGUUGAGAGUGUAUGAAGAGCCUGAAUAUUUAAAAUUCUCUUUUUCUAAAGCUUAAAAGUAAAAUAAAAACCAUCAUUUUUUUCCUGAUAUCUUACUAACACUCUCUAUUAACUUAUAAAGCAGAUGAAUUUUCAUUUGCUAAUUCAAUUUGAUUUACUACCAAAACCUCAGAAAUAAACCUGUGGGGUUUAGGCUAAAAAAUAUGUAGGCUAUUUUUUUGGCCACAUUGGCAGCAUGCAGAAUUUACCAGGCCAGGGAUUGAACCCUUGGUGACUAGAGCCACCACAGUGACAGUGCCAGAUCUUUAACCCACUGAGCCACCAGGGAACACCUUGCCUGUUUGAUUUGGAAUUCAGAAUCUUUGUAAUAUUGAAUUGAUUUUUUUUUAAUUCUUUAUUUCUCUCCUUUUUUCCUGUGACUCUCAUUUUUAACUUUUGCCAUCCUCUUAUACAACUCCCUGCUUUUGUUAAUUUAGCAUAUAAUAUACAAUAUAAUUUAAUGUACAAUAUAUAUCUUAAGGACUUUAAAAUGUGAAAUAACUAUUUAGUAGGAUUUAAUAUUAUAUGACCAUAUGUGAAGAAAAGUUUAUUUUAAUAAACUUUCACAGAUGCAGUUUGGAAGUUUUUGAUAGAUACAAAAAUGGAGGGUUGUGUACACUUUGCCUUAAUGACAUUUUUGUGUAUUUGGAUGGAUACCCCCAGAAUCUAUGAGAUCAGUUUCAAAUAAAAUAAAAUGCACAUACUGGG